This 456-nucleotide long non-coding RNA is filed under the name Sorghum bicolor (sorghum). RNAcentral's name for it is "long non-coding RNA (SBIC_LNC002707)". Lineage: Eukaryota; Viridiplantae; Streptophyta; Magnoliopsida; Poales; Poaceae. The record is from RNAcentral.
CACACUCUCUUUAUUUUCUUUUUAUGUUUAUAGAAUGCAGUGAUUUAAAGCAAGAAAAUAUUUAUUGGGUUUUCUAGGUUUUUCUCUUUCAGAUAAGAUACUAAAAUAGAAAAGAAUAAAUAAGAAAAGCAAAUAAAAACUUACUUGAUAAAACAGGGAGGAACUCCCACAAGCUGGAUGUUGUUGUCGGUCUUACCCAAUGUUCCAGAAUCGCAUCAUGGUGGUGAUGUUGUCAUUCAUUGUCGUGGUGUCUUGUCUUAGUUCUUGUACUGCAGUGGCAUGGUCCUGGUUCCAUUUUUGUUGCUGUUCUAGGAGUCUUCCAUGUUCCGCUUGCGUAUUCUGGAUGUCGAGGAGGGUGUUUUCGGUACGGGUGAAGAAAGCACCGGCCUCUUGGUAGUAGUCGUUCGUGAAAGCAUAAGAGGCAUCGGAGUAUCGUCCUGCAUCGAAUUGGGGCGA